CACGUAGGCACCAAGCGUUGUCCGGAUUUAUUGGGCGUAAAGAGCUCGUAGGCGGUUCAGUAAGUCAGGUGUGAAAUCUUUGGGCUUAACCCAAAGCGUGCAUUUGAUGCUGCUGUGACUUGAGUUCGGUAGGGGAGUGGGGAAUUCCUAGUGUAGCGGUGAAAUGCGCAGAUAUUAGGAGGAACACCGGUGGCGAAGGCGCCACUCUGGGCCGAAACUGACGCUGAGGAGCGAAAGCGUGGGUAGCAAACAGG
This 254-nucleotide ribosomal RNA is filed under the name uncultured bacterium. RNAcentral describes it as "partial 16S ribosomal RNA". It matches the Rfam family "Bacterial small subunit ribosomal RNA", at positions 524 to 776 of the family's 1533-position model. The record is from RNAcentral.